Molecule: ribosomal RNA, 253 nt
Filed under: uncultured bacterium
Lineage: Bacteria
Description: partial 16S ribosomal RNA
Rfam family: Bacterial small subunit ribosomal RNA
Source: RNAcentral
GACGUAGGGCGCGAGCGUUGUCCGGAUUUAUUGGGCGUAAAGAGCUCGUAGGCGGCUUGUCGCGUCGACUGUGAAAACCCGCGGCUCAACCGCGGGCCUGCAGCCGAUACGGGCAGGCUAGAGUUCGGUAGGGGAGACUGGAAUUCCUGGUGUAGCGGUGAAAUGCGCAGAUAUCAGGAGGAACACCGAUGGCGAAGGCAGCUCGCUGGGACGUGACUGACGCUGAGACGCGAAAGCGUGGGGAGCAAACAGG